UUAAUCUUCUCAAAAACAAAU
RNAcentral lists this non-coding RNA (21 nucleotides) under Caenorhabditis elegans. The record is from RNAcentral. Lineage: Eukaryota; Metazoa; Nematoda; Chromadorea; Rhabditida; Rhabditidae.